This is a non-coding RNA of Macaca mulatta (Rhesus monkey), 916 nucleotides long. NCBI's taxonomy places the organism in Eukaryota, Metazoa, Chordata, Mammalia, Primates, Cercopithecidae. The record is from RefSeq and is a predicted model, not a curated record.
AGUCAGCCAUUGUCAGUUACAUGGGUCUGGGCAACUGAGGGGCUUGGCUCUGCUGUUUUCCUUCAAUGAUGACAAUCUCCUGAAGGAGAUGAGACCAUCUUUUGUUCACGUAGUAAGAGUGGGAUUGAAAUAGAGAGAUGGAGAAUGAGACAGAGAGGAGGCCUGCAACCUUCAUUUAAGCAUCAUUGCUUGGGGAAAGGUGAGGUAAUGGACCCAAUCCCAGUCUGUUUUCUGCAGGAGCAGAAUCAAGGCUGAAGCAAACAUGGCCCUAAUCAGUUUUACAUCUCCGUUUAAUUUUAUUGGAAAGAAGAGCUGGCAAUGCAUCACAGAGGCCGGGUGUGACACAAAAGGUGACCCCCCUGCCAACUUAAUGGCACAAUACAUAACCCUUAAUGAAGUUGCUAUCUUGUCCCUCUUUUGCUGUCUCAGCCCCAUGAUUUACGAUGGCAUCAUUUUGCUUUGCCCUCUUUUCAUUUCAGCUUUGACAAAGUGGAUGAAACAAUUAUCUUCGUUAUCAGCCAGAGCAGAAGAAAUGUGAUAGUUGGGGAAUUUUUGCAGGUGGACGGCCUUGGCUGGGGAUCAAAACCAAUGGGUGAAAUGUGCUUAGGAAUUUUUUUCCUCUUCUCUUCUUCCUGUGACUAUGGGCUCCUGAAGAUGGAUUGUGUAUUCCAAUGAGCACUGUGAGUCCUAUAUCACUGUGGCAUGAAGUAAUUUCAAGAGAAGGGACAGCUGCAGAUAGAAGAGAGCUUGGAAUUUUGCAGUUUGUUCCUGUUGAGCCCCUUAUAUUUGUUUUUCCAUGCACGCCCAGGACAAGUUUUUUUUCUUUUUUAGUCACAUGUCAUUUUACAUCCACCUGCAUGGAUAGAACAUACAUUUUUCUAUAUUAUAAAUGAUACCUUGCAUUUAUUUAACAUAA